Molecule: long non-coding RNA, 4859 nt
Organism: Peromyscus californicus insignis
Lineage: Eukaryota; Metazoa; Chordata; Mammalia; Rodentia; Cricetidae
Exons: 5
Source: RefSeq, a predicted model, not a curated record
GUGCCCUCCGGGACCACGUCAGGGAGACUUCCCACCUGCGGUGUCCCCACCGCCGGGCUCUCCACCACAGCCGGGCCCACCUGCCAGUGGUUCUCACCUGGCCAGCUGACCUGUGAGCUCACACAGCGGUGCACGCUCUUAGCAAGAGGUUGGAGGAUCCCUGGCGCGCUCCAGCGCAGCUCUGCCCGGGAAUCCUGGAGGGGUGUCGGUGCCAGCGACACCCAGGCCGCAGCGAAGGGCCAGUUCCCAGCAGGACAGGUCGUCCGGAGCAGCAAGAUGCCGGGCUAGGCAGAGGGGCUCGUCCUGGGCUGUCUGGCUCUGCUUCAGCCCCAGGAUGUCCUGCGUAUGCUCUCUCACCAUAUUGUCAUUCUCUAGACCGCAAUGCCUUGUGAGCAGGACUCAGAAGCACCUGAGGGGCAAACCUCUGGGCACCUUUGAAGGUGUUUUUAGAGAUAAGACCCACUUCGAAUGAGGGCAGCACCGUCCCCGCAGACCAGGGUCCCUCCGUGAACGAAAAGGCCAAAGUGAGCUGAGCGCCACGUUCACCCUUCCUGACUGCCAGUGCGAUGUGACCAGCUAAUGCUCCUGUCACCAUGCCUUCUCCUUGAUGGCCUGGACCUUCAAACGGUGACUCAGACCCUUGCUCUUAUGUUGCCUUUGUCACGGCAGCGAGAGAAGUAGUGAAUACACAGGAAGCAGCCGAAGAAGGACAUUCAGAUGGGCAACAAUGGCUGUCCCAAACUUAUUGGCCUCAUCCUGCCCUCAUCCUCUCCGACCUAGGAAGCCACAAUGCUGGCUUUUGUGCUUACCUCGUCACUGGUGGCCAGAGCCACCCAAAGGAUUAGAUGUCCCUUCUUAGCGGGAGUCAGGUUUCCUGCCGCCUGUCAGAGCAAUGGGUCUUCUCGGGAUUGAGGGAUGGGACCUAGCCAGUGCAAUUACUGCUCGUUAGAUGUUCCAUUGAGGCUGAGACCCGGAGGGUCAGGGGAUGGGCAAGGAUGUCUGAAGAAGACACCCAGGCCAGAUGGCUCAUCUUGGAGGUGAUCAUGCCGUGUCCUGUGGCGGCAUCCACCCUCCCCAACUGUCAUUACAUGCCCAGCAGGUGUCUUGGACAGAUCAAUAAUAGAGUUAGCAUGCACUAGGCCCUGUUCUGAAUACUUCAUAUACAUCCACCUAAUUGUCCUGUGAAAUGGCAUUAUCAUUUUCCCAUUUUUCAGAUGAGGAAGCUGAGGCUCCAAGAUGUUAAAUAAUGUGCUCAAGGUCUUCCAACUGGAGAGCAGUAGAGCACUGAGUGAUUCUACCCAAGGGUCCAUUGAAUCUGUGCAGUCCUACUUUAAAGAUAGAAUGCCCUGGGCCUUCUGGCUCUGGUGCUCAGAAAGGAACAGACAGGUGAUGGGAGAGGCACAUCAAAUCCAUUUGAUAACAGGCUGUCCCUUCAGCGAGCUUCUGCCUGAAUACAGGUCCCCUAGGACUUGUCUGUCUCUUCAGGCGAAUGGUAGCUCUCCUGGGGACUGGGCAUGGAGGUGGGAUUGCUGAGGGAGAGUCUGAGAACCAGGCUCUGACUCUAGACUGUGUCACUUCCAGCUAGGCCUCUUGGCUGACUUUGCACACACUGAGCCCACAGCUUCCUGGAUUUGUGCUGGAGCCUCAAAACUCCACGUGUCCAGCACUCCCUUCCUGCCCCAGGGGGCUCCUCCCCUUCCUUGGGCCUCUCAGCUCCUGGAGUCCUGCCACCAUCUAAGCAAGAAACCUGUAAGGUAGCGCCCUUCUCCUCCAGCCAAUCAGUCGCCUGGGUGGUUGGUUCAACCAAGAGCACGCCUCUCCUUUCCCGAGGGCAGCUGCUCCAGCCCAGUGGUGGUCUCAGCAGUUACUGUGGGCAGCCCACUCAUCUUAGUGGUAGCUCUCCUAAAUGCCAUUUUCUUUCCCCUACAGCUUGUAUUUGCAAGUAAGGGAACUGGAGCACAGAGAGGUGAAGAAAUGUGCCCAAGGUUACCCUAAUGGCUAAUUGUAGGGCCAUCCUUGGUUGCCAGGAACGGUGCUGUAAGACUGGGUAGCAGAUGCCACCCCCAAACGCUGGGAACAGGCUGGUGGGCUAGCCCAGUCGACAGAGCGCUUGCCCAGCAUGCACAGAGCUCUGGACUCCAUCACCAGCACCGAAUACGUGAGUUGUGGUACAUGCCUGUAACCCCAGCCCUGGGGAAGUGGAGGAGGCAAGAGAAUAAAGGGUCCAAAGUUGUCAUCAGCUACAUAGCAAGUUCAAGGCCAGCCUGGACUACCAGAGACCCUGCCUCAGAGAGAGAGACAGACAGACAAAAAAAAACCAACCAACCAAGGCUUUGGGAACAUAAAGUCCAGUGGGGUUAUCUUUUCAUCUCCCUCCCACACUAAUCUGAUCAGUCUCCCUAAUCAGCAUAGUAUCUGGCAUAAAGAGAUGCUUGCUUCAUGAUUACAGAUGGAGAUGAAGUCAAGGGGAACCCUGGAAAUCAGGCACUGCCUGCUGAGGACCUGCAGAUGUGGGGCAGUGAGAAGGGUUGAUUCAGUCCGUUUGUUUUCAAGGUGUUCCCUUCCUUCAUGCUUCCUUAUUCCCUCCUCUCGUGUCCCGUGCUGCUGACGUCACUCACAAGCUUUAGCCACAUCAUUUGAGGGUGAAAGAAGUUGUUAACUGUUGGCCUUCAAAGGGACUGCAGAAAAGAGGCAGCCUGGAGACCGACCCUAAAUAAACAGUAGAGGGGUUCAUGCCCGAUGCCAGCCCCCUCCCAGGGUCUCUGGACUUCUACCUUGGCUAUCGCUAAGCAAUCAUGGGGAAAGAUGAAGACAAGCACCCAGGCCCCCCUUAUCCGGACUCCGCCUCCUGGCUCUGUAAAGUCCUCUAAAUCUUUUCCUAGGCUCCUUCUCUCAGGAGUGGUUCCAGUUCAGUUACUCAUCUCCUCUCCUGCCCAUUCCUGGGGUGGGGGCAGAAGCAGGGAGCUGGAAUGUCCACGGGCGCGAAGCCAAACCUUCCUAGGACUAACAGGUCAGAGCCAGUCACUCGUGGGCCACUUUGGGCAGUGAUGUGAGCAGAAGAAAGCUGGUCGCUGCCUUCCCUAAGUUGGGGAAAUGGGCAGGCAGGCUUUACAGGCAGGUCUGGGGGCUGGACAUGCUUCCAGCUGGUGCUCAAGAUCAGUGAGAGAGGGGCAAGGAAACCAUCACUGAGAAGACCUGAGGUGAAGACCAAAGGAUGGAGAGCCUGUGGGAGAGGACAGGCUCACGGAAGACACAAGGCUUAAGUCUCGAGGUGCCUGCAGCAGAGAGCAGGCCAGUUACUCAGAAAACUUGUGUUACACAAAAAUGCAGAGGAGAGCCACCUCUUCCUAGUCCCGGCUUUUGCUUCUCAAGGAGGAGGGGAAACAGAGAAAGGACACACACACACACACACACACACACACACACACACACACACACACACAGGCAGGCGCCAAAUGCUCUGGAGACAUCCUGUUUGACCUUGAAUGGUCAGUGCUCAGAAAUGGCCACUCCAGUGGUGGCCACUUCCCCUCCUUCCAGUCCCUUCUGCUUUCCUCAGCUGACACAGCUCCCCUCCUCCCCACAGCUGACCACCUGGUCACCUGCAGACCACCCCCUCCUCUCAGGGCCCCUCCUCCAGUGUUCCCAGACUUUUUUAACCUGUGGCUCAACUGUUCCCGUCCUCACCUAUGCUGAGCCUUGGGACUCUGUCCAGCCUUCCCUGCUGUCUGCUUUUGGCUGCUGGCAGGGUGGUGGCUGUAGGACCCAGGAGAGAAGUCCUGUGAGGUGGACCUCAUGAAAUAUCCAGUCCUGUGUCACAGGCCAGCCUGCUGGGUUGCUUCAGUUGUCCCCAGAGUACUGGCUAGGGUCGGGGAGGGAGGAACAAGGCAAUGAAGACAACUUGGCAUUCGGGCCAGAAAUAGAAUCUCUUUCCAGCACCAGAGCUGCCCCAAUCCUGCCCCCAAAUCCCACUCAGGAAAUGCUGGGGCCAGAGAGGAAGUUGCACAGUCCAAGACUUCCUGGCACCAGAUCCACUGCCCAUUUCCUCCCUUCAGAGAGGCCCUGAUCAGAGACCAGGGGAGGUGUAAAGAUGGAAGCCAGAGAAGGAAGCAGAGAGCCAAAGGGAAGUCUGUAAUUCCAACGGAGAGACCGGAGAGACCGCCGCAGACGACCAUGCCUGGGAUGGACCGCCGCAGACGACCAGCAGUCUCAGCUGUUCAGACUUCCCAAAACUUUAGGACUACAGGGAGUGCUCUCUGCUCCCCAGCCUCACCCUCUUCUUCCUCCUCCUUUUCCUCGAGGUUCUUUACCUUCAGGGGGAGGGGCGGGCCAGCCAUAUGCUCCAUGUAGACACAUUGCAGGAGUGACUAGAAUGCUAGCCUGACCUCCUUGACUGCCCAGACUCUUCAGGCUUUCAUGGACAUGCCCUAAUGGACCUGGGAGCCAUUACAGAAUGCAGCCACUACCCACUUGCUUCCCCUGCAGGUCCCUACCUGCAUCAGGCUUUGUACUGGCUCGUUUCCUGGGUCAACUUGACACAAGCUGGAGUCAUCAGAGAGGAAACAGCCUCAGUUGAGGAAAUGUCUCCAUGAAAUCCAGCUAUAAAGCAUUUUCUCAAUUGAUGAUCAAUGGGGGAGGGCCCAGCCCAUGUGGGUAGUGCCAUCCCUGGGCUGCUGGUCUUGGGUUCUAUAAGAGAGCAGGCUGAGCAAGCUAGGGGAAGCAAGCCAGUAAGCAGCACCCCUACAUGGCCUCUGCAUCAGCUCCUGCCUCCAGGUUCCUGCCCUGUGUGAGUUCCUGUCCUGACAUCUUCAUUGAUGAACAGCAAUGUGGACGUGUCAGCUGAAUAAACCCUGUCCUCC